UCGUUGCCAUGGAUACAGCUUCCCUGCAGCAGCGAUGGAGAGCCGUGAAAUCACCGUGUCUUUUUAAAUACAAACCCUAACAUUUUAUUCAGGGUGCGCACGCCAAACCGGAAACAGAAAGAAAAGGUGUAUAUAUGUUGCUAGGAUACAGCGAGGUAGCCAAACAGGAAAUGAUCCAGCUUCAUUCAAGCGUGCUUUGGUCAAGUUUGAUACAUUAAAGUAUCGGCUAAAGAAAUAAAACAUGGACACUAAAAUAACGCUACCACAGGCCCUGAAAGCUAAAGUGAUGCUAUGGACAGAUGUGAGCUACCAUGACAUGGAGGAAAUCGACAAAAUGCAGUCCAUUCCAGAUCUAGAGAGUGUCAUCUGCAGUGUGUUUGGAGUUGAUCUCCCUGAACCAAAAAGAGGAGUCCUGCUGGAGCUGUAUGUACAGGCUGUGCUUUUCUGCAGAGAGCGCAGCUUCAAGAAGGAACAAACUUCUGCCCUCUUGUCCAUCAUCAAAUCCAUCCAUGAGGCUAAUAUAGAAACUCCACUCAACAAUAUAGACCAGUGUUUCAAAUACUGCAAGGAGCUACUUCUCUGUCACUCAGUCAGGCGGCCUCCCUUUAGUAUCAACCUCUUCAGCUCUGAGGAGGUGAACUGUAUCUUAAAUUACAUCCAUAACAGCUAUGUGAGACACUACAAACUCUACAAAUAUAUUUUCACCCCACAGGUCAGACUUGAUUUGUCAUUGACUUACUCUGGGAUUCCAGACCAGGAUGAAUCUACUACAAAGGAUUCUUCUGCUCCAGAGGACCUUGGACCAGGUUUAUUAAUACUUUUAUGUAUUCUUGCUGAACCUGAUGCUAAAAAAUGGGAUGGAAAAAGAAACAGUACCAGGAAAGACUGACAGCUCUCCUCAAACACAGGAAGCAUCCAUUGCCGAGCCAGAGGGAGACACGCUCGGUUCAAAAUCAGAGCUGAAGUCACUCAUCGAGAAAGAGGUCAGAGAGCAGAUGUUGCUUGUGUCUGGACAACUAGAUCAGCAAAUGAAAGAAAUUGUAGAUCAGCACAGCAGAGUGC
This is an RNA transcript of Larimichthys crocea (large yellow croaker), 1062 nucleotides long. It is a transcript of the gene named cilia and flagella associated protein 119, with no coding region annotated. NCBI's taxonomy places the organism in Eukaryota, Metazoa, Chordata, Actinopteri, Sciaenidae. The transcript is spliced from 11 exons. The record is from RefSeq and is a predicted model, not a curated record.